AUGUUGGCUCAAUCCGAAGGAAAUUAUGCGGAAGCUUUGCAAAAUUAUUAUGAAGCUACGCGACUAGAAAUCGAUCCCUAUGAUCGAAGUUAUAUACUCUAUAACAUAGGCCUUAUACACACAAGCAAUGGAGAGCAUACAAAGGCUUUGGAAUAUUAUUUCCGGGCACUAGAACGAAACCCCUUCUUACCGCAAGCUUUUAAUAAUAUGGCCGUGAUCUGUCAUUACGGAGAACAGGCCAUUCUACAGGGUGAUUCGGAAAUUGCGAAAGCUUGGUUUGAUCAAGCUGCUGAAUAUUGGAAACAAGCUAUAGCGCUUACUCCGGGAAAUUAU
RNAcentral lists this ribosomal RNA (333 nucleotides) under Triticum aestivum (bread wheat). RNAcentral describes it as "partial small subunit ribosomal RNA". Lineage: Eukaryota; Viridiplantae; Streptophyta; Magnoliopsida; Poales; Poaceae. The record is from RNAcentral.